RNAcentral lists this RNase P RNA (358 nucleotides) under Pseudidiomarina taiwanensis. Its description in RNAcentral is "Bacterial RNase P class A". It matches the Rfam family "Bacterial RNase P class A". Rfam says of the family: Ribonuclease P (RNase P) is a ubiquitous endoribonuclease, found in archaea, bacteria and eukarya as well as chloroplasts and mitochondria. Its best characterised activity is the generation of mature 5'-ends of tRNAs by cleaving the 5'-leader elements of precursor-tRNAs. Cellular RNase Ps are ribonucleoproteins. The record is from Rfam by way of RNAcentral. Lineage: Bacteria; Pseudomonadati; Pseudomonadota; Gammaproteobacteria; Alteromonadales; Idiomarinaceae.
GAAGCUAGCCAGACAAUCGCUGCUUAUCGCAAGAUAAGGGGAGGAAAGUCCGGGCUCCAAAGGGCAGGGUGCCAGGUAACACCUGGGCGACGAAAGUCGACGACUAGUGCAACAGAGAGCAUACCGCCGAUGGCCUGUUUAGACAGGAUCAGGUAAGGGUGAAAGGGUGCGGUAAGAGCGCACCGCGCAACUGGUAACAGUUUGUGGCACGGUAAACUCCACUCGGAGCAAGGUCAAAUAGGGGUUCAUUGGCGCGGCCCGCGUUGAACCCGGGUAGACUGCUUGACCGUUAGGGUGACUUAACGGCUAGACGAAUGAUUGUCCACGACAGAACCCGGCUUAUCGGCUAGCUUCCCUU